RNAcentral lists this ribosomal RNA (587 nucleotides) under uncultured Planococcus sp. RNAcentral describes it as "bacterial SSU rRNA". It matches the Rfam family "Bacterial small subunit ribosomal RNA", at positions 338 to 918 of the family's 1533-position model. The record is from RNAcentral. Lineage: Bacteria; Bacillati; Bacillota; Bacilli; Caryophanales; Caryophanaceae.
CCUACGGGAGGCAGCAGUAGGGAAUCUUCCGCAAUGGACGCAAGUCUGACGGAGCAACGCCGCGUGAGUGAUGAAGGUUUUCGGAUCGUAAAACUCUGUUGUGAGGGAAGAACACGUACCAACUAACUAUUGGUACCUUGACGGUACCUCACCAGAAAGCCACGGCUGACUACGUGCCAGCAGCCGCGGUAAUACGUAGGUGGCAAGCGUUGUCCGGAAUUAUUGGGCGUAAAGCGCGCGCAGGCGGUUCCUUAAGUCUGAUGUGAAAGCCCACGGCUCAACCGUGGAGGGUCAUUGGAAACUGGGGGACUUGAGUGCAGAAGAGGAAAGUGGAAUUCCAUGUGUAGCGGUGAAAUGCGUAGAGAUGUGGAGGAACACCAGUGGCGAAGGCGACUUUCUGGUCUGUAACUGACGCUGAGGCGCGAAAGCGUGGGGAGCAAACAGGAUUAGAUACCCUGGUAGUCCACGCCGUAAACGAUGAGUGCUAAGUGUUAGGGGGUUUCCGCCCCUUANUGCUGCAGCUACGCAUUAAGCACUCCGCCUGGGGAGUACGGCCGCNAGGCUGAAACUCAAAUGAAUUGACGGGG